CCUACGGGGGGCUGCAGUAGGGAGUUUUCGGCAAUGGGGGGAACCCUGACCGAGCAAUGCCGCGUGAGCGAAGAAGGUCUUCGGAUUGUAAAGCUCUGUUGUAGGGGAUGAACUGACUAGGAAGGAAAUGUCCUGGUCUUGACAGUACCUUACCAGAAAGCCACGGCUAACUACGUGCCAGCAGCCGCGGUAAUACGUAGGUGGCAAGCGUUAUCCGGAAUUAUUGGGCGUAAAGCGUGAGCAGGCGGCCGUUUAAGUUUGAAGUCAAAUCCAGGGGCUCAACCCCUGUCCGCUUUGAAAACUGGAUGGCUAGAGUACGAGAGAGGUAUGUGGAAUUCCAAGUGUAGCGGUGAAAUGCGUAGAUAUUUGGAGGAACACCAGUGGCGAAGGCGGCAUACUAGCUCGAUACUGACGCUCAGUCACGAAAGCGUGGGGAGCAAAUAGGAUUAGAUACCCCAGUAGUC
This 464-nucleotide ribosomal RNA is filed under the name uncultured bacterium. RNAcentral describes it as "bacterial SSU rRNA". It matches the Rfam family "Bacterial small subunit ribosomal RNA", at positions 338 to 795 of the family's 1533-position model. The record is from RNAcentral.